UGCGCUUGAAAGAGAUUUGGC
This 21-nucleotide small nuclear RNA is filed under the name Arabidopsis thaliana (thale cress). Its description in RNAcentral is "snRNA_07857". The record is from RNAcentral. Lineage: Eukaryota; Viridiplantae; Streptophyta; Magnoliopsida; Brassicales; Brassicaceae.